UGGGGAAUAUUGGACAAUGGGCGAAAGCCUGAUCCAGCCAUGCCGCGUGUGUGAAGAAGGUCUUCGGAUUGUAAAGCACUUUAAGUUGGGAGGAAGGGCAGUAAGCGAAUACCUUGCUGUUUUGACGUUACCGACAGAAUAAGCACCGGCUAACUCUGUGCCAGCAUCCGCGGUAAUACAGAGGGUGCAAGCGUUAAUCGGAAUUACUGGGCGUAAAGCGCGCGUAGGUGGUUCGUUAAGUUGAAUGUGAAAGCCCCGGGCUCAACCUGGGAACUGCAUCCAAAACUGGCGAGCUAGCGUAGGGCAGAGGGUGGUGGAAUUUCCUGUGUAGCGGUGAAAUGCGUAGAUAUAGGAAGGAACACCAGUGGCGAAGGCGACCACCUGGGCUCAUACUGACACUGAGGUGCGAAAGCGUGGGGAGCAAACAGG
Molecule: ribosomal RNA, 429 nt
Filed under: Pseudomonadota bacterium
Lineage: Bacteria; Pseudomonadati; Pseudomonadota
Description: Proteobacteria bacterium partial 16S ribosomal RNA
Rfam family: Bacterial small subunit ribosomal RNA
Source: RNAcentral